Molecule: long non-coding RNA, 1289 nt
Organism: Engraulis encrasicolus (European anchovy)
Lineage: Eukaryota; Metazoa; Chordata; Actinopteri; Clupeiformes; Engraulidae
Exons: 6
Source: RefSeq, a predicted model, not a curated record
GCAGUCACAGUUAUUUUGCCGAUCAGCGGCAGCUCCGAUCCGGACCAGUAGUUUGACAGUCAGUUUUGAAGGCUCCUGGCGGAGGCGGGCCAGAUAAGCAAUCCGGACGCGCCAUAAUAAAAUAAUUCAGUCCGAUUUGAAGGCGCGUGGCGGGUGCGGGCCACACAAAGCAAUCCGGACGCGCCAAAACUGAAUUUGUUCCCCAACUGUCACUUUGGAACCCUCAGAGAGAGAGACCGUUCUUCAGUUUACCUCAGCUGAACUCAACUAUCCGCCUGUGUCGCGUCUCGUCCAACACUGCACUGUCGUGACUUGAUCAUUCAAUGAUGAAUUGUACGGUAGGUUCAGCCAUUCCUUGAUCGACCUGACACCAGCAUUAGGCCUACUCGAUGUGUAUGAAGCAAGCUGCCUCUGCAUCAAGUGAGGGAAGAAGCCGCCACUGAAAAGCUUUUUGGACUGUCAUUUGAAGGACACAAAUGAAAGGACAGGAAUUCUGCUCUGCGGCGUUGGUCUCACUAUUUAUUCAAGAAGCCCUUGGACACCACCAGAAUGUAUGAAAAUUGUAAACAGUAGGCACAGUCAUUCCUUGAUCGACCUGGCAUCAACAUCGCUCGAUGUGUAUGAAGCUGCAAGUGAGAGAAGAAGCCGCCACUGAACACCUUUUUGGACUGUCAUGACACAAAUGAAAGGACAGGACUUCUACUCUGCUGGGUCGGCCUCACUACAUAUUCAAGAAGCCCUCGGACGUCAUCAGAAUGUAUUAAUGUGAAGAGGCAACAAGGGAGAGAUGAACGCUAUCAAACAUGUGGAGAUGGAUCUGGCAGCCGACCGCUUUGGCACACACCCAACAAGAAACAAAACAAUAAAGAAUACUAAAAUGCAUAAUUUGUAAGCAGCUCAUUUUUUAAAAACAUUGUUUGCUCUUGCUUGAAGGUGCACUGUGUAAAAUUGUGGCCAGAGUAGUUAUUGCAUCUAUGGUGCUCAUUGAAACUGUGCUGUCUACUGCUAAUUUAGAUUUUUGCAUGAAUACCAAAGUGUAGUGAGUUUUGCAGCUAAAAUGUCUAUUUCUGGAAAUUCAAAAUGGCGGACCAUGGAGAAGAUCCCCCUUUUCAUGUAUGAAAAGUGCAAAUUUCCCAGUCAUGUUGAAUACUUUGGUGGUGGUAAAUAUCUGUUAAAAAGUUAACAUUUGUGAAUGGGCAUAAUGAAUUCUGGAAAUGAACAACUAAAAAUAUUCCACGUCCACCUUUAAAGGGGUAUGCCACUAUUUUGGGGCUUAAUACAGUUAAAAU